RNAcentral lists this ribosomal RNA (254 nucleotides) under uncultured bacterium. RNAcentral's name for it is "partial 16S ribosomal RNA". It matches the Rfam family "Bacterial small subunit ribosomal RNA", at positions 524 to 776 of the family's 1533-position model. The record is from RNAcentral.
UACGUAGGGUGCGAGCGUUGUCCGGAAUUAUUGGGCGUAAAGAGCUCGUAGGCGGUGUGUCGCGUCGGCCGUGAAAACCUGGGGCUCAACUCUGGGCGUGCGGUCGAUACGGGCAUCACUUGAGUUCGGCAGGGGAGACUGGAAUUCCUGGUGUAGCGGUGGAAUGCGCAGAUAUCAGGAGGAACACCGGUGGCGAAGGCGGGUCUCUGGGCCAUUACUGACGCUGAGGAGCGAAAGCGUGGGGAGCGAACAGG